GACGAAGGUGGCAACCGUUGUUCGGAAUCACUGGGCAUAAAGAGCACGUAGGCGGGAAUGUAAGUCGGGUGUGAAAUCCCUCGGCCCAACCGAGGAACUGCGCCCGAUACUGCAUACCUUGAGGGCAGGAGGGGAGCGUGGAAUUCCUGGUGGAGCGGUGAAAUGCGUUGAUAUCAGGAGGAACACCGGCGGCGAAGGCGACGCUCUGGCCUGCUUCUGACGCUGAGGUGCGAAAGCCAGGGGAGCAAACGGG
This 253-nucleotide unclassified non-coding RNA is filed under the name uncultured Planctomycetota bacterium. Its description in RNAcentral is "uncultured planctomycete contains 16S-23S intergenic spacer region". It matches the Rfam family "Bacterial small subunit ribosomal RNA", at positions 524 to 776 of the family's 1533-position model. Lineage: Bacteria; Pseudomonadati; Planctomycetota. The record is from RNAcentral.